This 365-nucleotide long non-coding RNA is filed under the name Piliocolobus tephrosceles (Ugandan red Colobus). RNAcentral describes it as "lncRNA (ENSPTEG00000022021.1)". Lineage: Eukaryota; Metazoa; Chordata; Mammalia; Primates; Cercopithecidae. The record is from RNAcentral.
AUUUCUAAUUUUAAGUAUUCUUUUUUUUACAGACAAAUAAAAAGAAGUGUCAAGAAUUGCCUUUGGGACUCUGAAGGCUGAAGAAUACCUGAUAAAUUGCAAGUUUGUGCCCCACAGCUGCACAGACUGCCUGAAGUUACAUUUAGAGACUGAAAUCACUGCACCUUAAAAACAAAAGAUUGGGCUGCACUGUAUUCCUAUAACGUCAAAGGAAGGGCCAAGAAGGUCAAAAGGAAACAUGGACAAAGAGGGGAUAAAGAAGAGGAACUGGAGGUAAAUUUCAUCUACACUUUGGAAUUCUGUUCAAGGUUGGUUCUGGUAUUUGGGAUGGAAGGAUUGCUUUGGAUAUUAAGAGAGAAAUAUGG